This 253-nucleotide ribosomal RNA is filed under the name uncultured bacterium. Its description in RNAcentral is "partial 16S ribosomal RNA". It matches the Rfam family "Bacterial small subunit ribosomal RNA", at positions 524 to 776 of the family's 1533-position model. The record is from RNAcentral.
UACGGAGGGUGCAAGCGUUAAUCGGAAUUACUGGGCGUAAAGCGUGCGUAGACGGUCAUGUAAGUCGGAUGUGAAAGCCCCGGGCUCAACCUGGGAAUUGCAUUCGAGACUGCAUGGCUUGGGUGCGGAAGAGGGAAGCGGAAUUUCCGGUGUAGCGGUGAAAUGCGUAGAUAUCGGAAGGAACACCAGUGGCGAAAGCGGCUUCCUGGUCCGACACCGACGUUCAGGCACGAAAGCGUGGGGAGCAAACAGG